GCAGUCGAGGGGUAUAGUUCUUCGGAAUAGAGACCGGCGCACGGGUGCGUAACGCGUAUGCAAUCUACCUUUUACAGAGGGAUAGCCCAGAGAAAUUUGGAUUAAUACCUCAUAGUAUAGCAACUUCGCAUGAAGUCACUAUUAAAGUCACAACGGUAAAAGAUGAGCAUGCGUCCCAUUAGCUAGUUGGUAAGGUAACGGCUUACCAAGGCGACGAUGGGUAGGGGUCCUGAGAGGGAGAUCCCCCACACUGGUACUGAGACACGGACCAGACUCCUACGGGAGGCAGCAGUGAGGAAUAUUGGUCAAUGGGCGCAAGCCUGAACCAGCCAUGCCGCGUGCAGGAUGACGGUCCUAUGGAUUGUAAACUGCUUUUGUACAGGAAGAAACACUCCGACGUGUCGGAGCUUGACGGUACUGUAAGAAUAAGGAUCGGCUAACUCCGUGCCAGCAGCCGCGGUAAUACGGAGGACCCAAGCGUUAUCCGGAAUCAUUGGGUUUAAAGGGUCUGUAGGCGGUUUAGUAAGUCAGUGGUGAAAGCCCAUCGCUCAACGGUGGAACGGCCAUUGAUACUGCUAGACUUGAAUUAUUAGGAAGUAACUAGAAUAUGUAGUGUAGCGGUGAAAUGCUUAGAGAUUACAUGGAAUACCAAUUGCGAAGGCAGGUUACUACUAAUGGAUUGACGCUGAUGGACGAAAGCGUGGGUAGCGAACAGGAUUAGAUACCCCUGGUAGUCCACGCCGUAAACCAUGGAUACUAGCUGUUGGGAGCGAUCUCAGUGG
This 782-nucleotide ribosomal RNA is filed under the name uncultured bacterium. RNAcentral describes it as "bacterial SSU rRNA". It matches the Rfam family "Bacterial small subunit ribosomal RNA", at positions 57 to 846 of the family's 1533-position model. The record is from RNAcentral.